CUUUGCCUUCGACGACUUUUCUGAUUCCAACCGAAAGUAUUGUUUCUCUUUCAUAUCUCUUUCUCGGUGCCGUAUGUUCGUGUUUCUGUGGUGAUCUAUGAAACGACUGGGAAGUUAUCACUGGAAGGAUGAUUGAAGAUAUAUCUAUUGAUAACUACAGCAGAUUUUGGCAUCCAGGUUUGGAUAACCAAGACCAUCUAUCGGAUAGACAGAUCCCGUCCCCCGUUUUAAUCAUGAAGUAGAAACAUCGUGCAUAUCACAACUCAGUAAAGGAUUUGUAGAAGCUUUGUUUUGUAUCCGGUUGCGAGUGUUAAUGUCAGGAGUUCGUCUCGAUGAUCUUUAUUCUGGCCAAGCAUAGAAAGCAAGCCAGUAGGGAGCAGAGCUGUCGACAUACUGUGGGUUGAUACCUCGUGAUCUUCCACCUUUAGCAAGGCUGUCUGCA
Long non-coding RNA from Brassica oleracea var. oleracea, 442 nucleotides. RefSeq lists it as uncharacterized. The transcript is spliced from 3 exons. Lineage: Eukaryota; Viridiplantae; Streptophyta; Magnoliopsida; Brassicales; Brassicaceae. The record is from RefSeq and is a predicted model, not a curated record.